This 1371-nucleotide long non-coding RNA is filed under the name Piliocolobus tephrosceles (Ugandan red Colobus). RNAcentral describes it as "lncRNA (ENSPTEG00000026259.1)". The record is from RNAcentral. Lineage: Eukaryota; Metazoa; Chordata; Mammalia; Primates; Cercopithecidae.
AUGUAUGGGGAAGAUUAUGCAUCUUCUGGUCAAGCUCAAGGAGGUACAGGACAAGGGUUUAAUUUUGAUCAGGAUAUAAUGAGUGAAAUUUUGAAACAAUUUGCAGGAGGUAGUAAUAAAGGUGGUAAUACUGGUAAUUUUCAGUUCAAAUUUAGUUCAGGUGGUAGUAAUUAUGGACAGGGUGGUAGUUAUGGUGGAGGAGGUAGAGGAGGGUCAGGGUUUCAUCCAUUUUUUGAAGAACAUGAAGAUAUAUACACUAAUAAUGAAAUAUUAAAAAUAAAUGCUAAUAAUUGGAAUGAUAUAUAUAAUGAUAUAACUUAUGCAUUAGUCAUAAAUUUUUAUUCACCAUCUUGUUCACAUUGUGUUUCUUUUAAAAAAAUUUAUAUAGAUUUAUCAAAAAGGUAUGAUGGAUAUAUUCGUUUUUCUGUUAUGAAUUGUGAUGAAGAAAAACAAUUGUGUAGAAAAUAUAAUGUUAAAUCAUUACCCCAUUUAAUUUUAAUGAAAAAAGAUAAUAGUUACGAAAAUUUUUAUGGUUCUAGAUCUAUCGAUAAUGUAAUAAAAUUUAUAAAUAAUAAUAUACCAUAUAGUUAUAUGGAAAUAAGUAAUAAACAAAAAUUAGAUUUAUUUUUAACAAAAAGUGGAGAUAUUCCGAAAGUUGUAUUUUUUCUUUCUCCUAGUAAUAAUAUUAUAAUGAUAAAAGCUUUAUCAGUUGAAUUUGAAAAAAGGAUAAAUCUAGCUAUUAUAUUUAAUACAAAUUAUAAUAUAAUAAAACUUUUUAAAAACAAAAAUAAUAUUGUAUUUCCAUCAAUUUUAGUAAUAGAUGAUAUAGAUACAUUAACAGGAGAUUUGACAAUUUUAAAAAAAAUAGAUUUUAAUGCUUUGUCUUUAAGAUUAAGUCAUAUAGUUGCACAACAUAGAUUACAAAAUAAUAUUUAUGGACAUAUAACCACUUAUCAAGAAUUAACAAAAAAAAAAUAUGAGUCUGGUCAAUGUCAUCAUAAAGAUUCACAAAUUUGUUUUUUUAUUUUAAAAUUAUUAAAAAAAAGUUAUAAAUUAUUUGAUGAAGAUAUAAAAAAAAUUGCAUCUAAAUUUUCAAGUGACCCUAUUAAAAUUUUAUAUAUUAAUAUAUUUAAGCAGCCAUAUAUAUUAGAAUCAUUUGGGUUGGUAAAUAAAUGCAACUAUGCUAACUGUCUUAUAUUAGUAGCAUUUAGACCAAAGAGGCAAAAAUUUAAAAUAUAUGAUGGAGAAGUAAACAUGAAUAAUGUUUAUAACUUUGUUGAAAAUGUUAUUAGUGGAGGGAUAGCUAUCAAUCAAAACUUGGUAAAAAAUUUGAGAUUUGUAAGUUCAACCUAUUAUGCUGAUGAGUUGUAA